Molecule: non-coding RNA, 23 nt
Filed under: Drosophila melanogaster (fruit fly)
Lineage: Eukaryota; Metazoa; Arthropoda; Insecta; Diptera; Drosophilidae
Also listed under: 4 other names
Source: RNAcentral
AAGGUUUCCGUAGGUGAACCUGC